RNAcentral lists this non-coding RNA (88 nucleotides) under bovine gut metagenome. Its description in RNAcentral is "S10-Clostridia ribosomal protein leader". It matches the Rfam family "S10-Clostridia ribosomal protein leader". The record is from RNAcentral.
UGAUAGCGUUGAAGCGUGAGGUUGCUACCCGCAUGACGAGGUAGGUUUUUACGCAGAGCGAAUGUCAAGUUAUGAAAACUGGCGACAA